CAAUGAUGUCCAGCUACUACUUACAAUGACAAUCUCCUCAGGGAAGGAACAGCACAUGCAUUUGCCCAAUAUAACAUGGACCAAUUCACACCUGUGAAGAUAGAAGGAUAUGAAGAUCAGGUCUUAAUUACAGAGCAUAGUGACCUGGGUAAUAGCCUAUUUUUAGAUUCAAGAAGCAAAAUUUUCUUUAAGUUUGAUCACUUAUGGAAAUAAGCCAGUGACCCUCAACCAGAGGAAGUAGAUGGAGG
Molecule: long non-coding RNA, 248 nt
Filed under: Marmota monax (woodchuck)
Lineage: Eukaryota; Metazoa; Chordata; Mammalia; Rodentia; Sciuridae
Source: RNAcentral